This 16949-nucleotide long non-coding RNA is filed under the name Citrus maxima (pomelo). RNAcentral describes it as "long non-coding RNA (CMAX_LNC000405)". Lineage: Eukaryota; Viridiplantae; Streptophyta; Magnoliopsida; Sapindales; Rutaceae. The record is from RNAcentral.
UUAGCGGAAGCAUAAGCCAUGAUGCUAGUUUCUUGUUCAAAUUUUUCCAUGUCCUCCUUAAACAUUACCACCAAUGCUUCUAUUCCUUCGCCGUCACUUGUGCUUGAUAAAAUAGCAAUAUCAGGUAACAAUAUGGGCCCGAGACUAAACCAAACAGGCUUCCCCCAACCAAAAUCAACUUCAUAACAAGGCAAUCCAACCACACUAGUCAAAGGAAAUGACCUUGAAUCUUCCCAUGCUUCAUACAAAUCCUUAAUGAAAUCUAAAUACUCAUCAUUAUUCAUCACAUCUCUUCCCAUUCUCUUGGCUUUUACCACUUCUCUUACUAAAUUUGUUACCUCUAUGGCAUCAUCCUCGGCUAGUGACCAUUCUGCCCUUACAAGCCGAAAAAUGUUACCCAUGCAUCGUGGAAACAUUGGUGGAUUCAUCUUGUUACGCAAAUUCAUAGUAUAAUACAUUGAAUGAGAGUACAACAUGUUAUCAGUUGUCCUCUUUCUUUCACGCGCUACAGCGAUGGAGGCACCCCAAAUGAGUGCUGAAACAACCCCGAAACGCGUUGCUUGUAACACGUAAUCGUCAGAAUUGUUAUCAGCCAUUAAUUCUUUAUUCACCUUCUCCUUUAGAGUUGCUAUCUUCUUGCCUUCGAACAAUAAUCUUUUGAACACAAUCUUGCGUGCAGAUUGUGGGCUUGGGAUCUGAUACUGCUGUGGGAACUUUACUGGCGGAAACAGAGAGGUGCAAUCUAAAACGAUAUUGUUAUUGCAAAUAUUAUCAUUAUCAUUAAUCACCCCACGAGCAAUUUCACCCCAGGUUUUCAUGAAGUUAAAGAUUGCCGAACCGUCGGCCACUCCAUGAGAAAAACAAACACCAAUUGCCAUUUCACCGCUGUUGAACAGAUUUACUUGGACAGCCAAAAGUUCUCUUUCAGAAAUCUCUAAAUUCGAUAAUUGGGGACUAGGUGGGAUUAAUUGUUGCAGCAGCUCCAUAUCUGGUGGUUGAAGAAACUUUGAUAUAUCACAGCCAACAUUUGCUUCAAUAAAUGCAGCCCCAUGAUCAUUACAGUCGACCGAAAAACCAUCAAUGAAUCUUCCAGCAAAGGGGUAGUAGUGGGUUAAUGUUGUUGCGAGAGAUUGCUUCAAUAAAUCAGAUUUUUUUCUGAAAUCUUGGUGCUUGCAACUGGCUGAGUAGAAGAAAACUAGGGGAAUAUAAAGAUCAUAAUUCAUUUGAUCAAUCAAUGAAAGUUUAUAGGUUCUAAGAUGUUUUCGCGUUGGAAGUGAAGGUUUGACUCUUUCGGUGGAAAUGACCUGAACAUCAGAAGUGGCACUUUUGAUACUUCUUUUUGAGAAAAUCUGGACAUUAUUCGUGAUUAAUUUGGAAGCAGUUAUUCGGAAAAUGUUUUUGAGAGUCACUGCCAUCUUUUGCUGGCUUUGAGAAAUUAUUCACCAAAGUGAGUGUUGAGUGGCAUAUAGUGUAGUGCAGCCAAAUUCAUCAUAUUUAUUAUAAGCGUCUUGCAUAAUUGCUUCUGAAAUGAUCGGAUCUCCAAAAUAAUAAAGAAAAUCAAAGCGAAUCCCUUAGAAAAUAUACAAAGUCAACAAAUGGAGGUUAUUUCAAUAAUAGACAAUAUUAAAAAAAUUGUCGCUCUCCGGGUCAAUAGAUCAGUUUGAGAUAUAUCAAAUUCUAAUAAUUCUUGUUACUUCUUAUAUAAGAACAUAUAUUUAAUAUAUAGAAAGAAGGGGAACUAAUGAAUAAAAUAAAAUAAAGUCCAUUGGCAAAUUCCAUGAACCCGAAAGCUGUGCAUCUAUAUCUUAUUUAUUAAAAUUUACACAACACUUAAAUAUUUUAUGAAAAUAACACAAAUAUUUGAGAUUUGUACAUAAAUAUGCUAGUUACUAUUUUAUUUUAAUGUCACCACAAUAUUAAUUAGCAAGAAGUAACUUUUUGUAUCUCUGACGGAAUAAGUCGAAUUGGUUUGUCCCCUUAUAGUGAAAACAAGAGGUCACAUGUUCAUUUCCCUCUCCCACCAACCCUGGGAAAUAAAAUUAUUUAAUUGAUGUUUCAUGUAUAUAGGAUGGAAUAUGAAUUUAACUUUUGAUACUUUUGUUGAAAUUUGAAUUAUAUACAAGGACAUAAAUAUAUAUAUGAUGUGCUAGGUGAUUAGUGUGAUUGUGUAUAUGGGCGGGUGUGUGUUUGUUAUAUAUGCCACUGCCAAUUCCAACACAAUCUUGGACCGACAUUAGCAUGAAUUUAUUUUUGGAAUUACCCCGUACUCAGAGGGGUAUGGAUUCAAUAUUUGUUGAUGUGGAUCAAUUCUUGAAAAUGGCACACUUUAUUGCCUAUAAGAAGACUACAGAUGCCUUGACUGUUGCUUGUUUAUUCUUUAAAUAAGUCUAUAGAUUGCAUGGUUUACCGAGUUCUAUAGUAUUUGAUCGAGAUAUGCGAUUUCUUAGCCAUUUUUGGAAAACAUUAUGGAAUUUGACAAACACUCGCCUAAAUUUUGAAAGUACUUACCACCCACAAAUAGAUGGUUAAACUGAAGUUGUCAAUUGCUCUUUAGGAAACCAUCUACAUAGUCUAGUUGGUGAUAACUCGAAGAUAUGGGAUCAAAAGUUAUAUCAAGUCGAGUUUGCUUAUAAUCCUGUAGUUAAGCGUAGUACUGGUUUAAGUCUUUUUUUAGGUGAAUUAUGGAUAUAAUCCACGAGCUGCCAUUGACUUAACUCUAGUUCUAGAUUUAGUUUGCAAAAGCAGCAAGACAAAAGACUUUAUUAAGCAGCUUCAGAAGAUUCAUGAAGUUAUGCAAGAGUCUUUGAAGAAGACUACCGAAGGUUAUAAAAUUAAGGCAGACAAAAGGUUUCAAGCUUUAGAAUUUCAGGUGGGAGAUCUUGUUUGGCUGUCCUAACCAAAGAUAGAUUCUCAGUUGGUGACAACAACAAGCUUUCUGGCAGGAAAAUUGGACUUUUGGAGAUUAUAGAGAAGAUAAUUCUAAUGCCUACCAAUUAAAGCUUCCUAGUCACAUCCGCACUACAGAUGUAUUCAAUGUCAAGCAUCUUAUUCCUUGCAAAGGUGAUCAUGAUGAAGAUGUUGUUGCUGACAAUUCAAAUUUGAAGGUGAAUUCUCUCCAUCCUGGGGGAAUGGUGCGAAUUAGGAAUCCAUAUUAUAUUAGGAUAUGUUUCCUUAUUAACAAAGGUUUAAGACUUUUAUUUUCCUUUCUAGUUUAGGACUUUAUUUUCCUUUUCUUUAUGGUUUAGGAUAUCUACUACUAGUAUAAAUAUCCCUUCUUAUAGCCUUUGAAAGUAGAUUUUUGAGUUCAAUAAUAUUUCAGUUUUUGCAAAUCUCUAUGUGAGUUUUUUUAGUUUAAUUAAUUCCUAGUAUUCUCGGAAUUAACGAGUCUUAGCCCCCUAAAUUUGUGGUAUUAUUUUGAAUCAAUGUGAAUUUAGUUUGUUCUUUAUUCUAGUAUUCUCUAUAAUCAACAUAAUAUUUUGAAUAUGAAACUUCCGUUGCAUCAGGAAGUCUACUUAUUGGGGAAAAUAAUUUAUUUUAGAGGGAUUUUAUAUGUUGUACUCUUUUUCCCCACUAGGUUUUUAUCUAUAUAUCUCCAAAAUUAUUUGUUUCAAGACAUCAAUGAAUAAUGUACUCGUUUUCCUUUAUUAAUUUUUUUCCCAUAAGGGUAUUUUUUAGUAAAAGUUUUAAUAAGGCAUAUUCUUUUGUAAUGAACAUUCAAGGGAGAGUGUUUUGAAUUUAUUAAAAUAAAUGUGGAUGUUUAUAACAUACAUCUCUUAGUCUCCCUACUAUCUCCUACCAGCCACCUUUGGCUUCUCUAUAACUCUUACUAUCUCACAAAGAAUUAUGAUCUAUAAUGUUUCCAUUAAUUUCAUGGAGUGAUUAUGUAACAAUAAAAAAGAGUUCAUUUUUUUUUUGUUUUGUAUACAUUUGGAAUGAGUAAAAUCACUUUAUAGUAUAUUGCUCUCUCAUUUUACUUUUUAUCUUGUGUUGCUGGCUAAUAGUUCUUCUAAUAAUAUCUAAAUAUUAAUAGCGUAUAAUACUCUAAAUACAUACAAAAAAAUUAUAAAAAGAUCAUCACAACUCAACACUUUAGUUUAAAUUCAUUUAAGAAAUAGUUAAUCCUUAUAGAACAAGUAACAAAAAUUAUUAAAUACAUGCUAGCUUUGUUUUACCGAUCUUUAUAUAGAAAACUAUGACUAUGAAAGAUAUAUCCAAAUUCAAUAAUUCUUUUUACUUGUUCUUUUCAAAAGGCUUUUAUUUUAUAUAAUAACAUUGACAUUAAUUGACUAUUUUAUUAUUUCUUAAAUAAUCCAAGCAUGUAUGUGUAGCGGGCUUUUAUGUUCUUGGAAGUUUGUGAGCAAAAAUAUUAGUGAAUGUAACGUUGGAAGUUUGUGCUUACUCAAGAUUUUUUUUCUUUGACAAGUACUGAAGAAGAUUAUGUAAAUUGGAAAUGGAAUAUGUUGUUGAUAGUGUGCAGUAAAUAUGAUUUUAAAAAAAAAUUAUUUUAAUAAAAGUAAUAAAUAUAUUAUAGGUAUCAUAUAAGUGUGGGAUAAAAGGAUAAAUUUUAAUUUACAUCUACUUAAAAUGACAAUCUUUAAUUUACGUUUCAAAAGUUUGAAAACAUCAAUUUAUCUUUAUUUAUUAUUAAGAAGACAAAAAAUAAUUAUUUAUCAACGCACCCUAUUCGUCCUCAUCUUUUGAACGAAAAAAAGAGUAAAAUGAGGGUUUCACACUUUUAGGGGCUAAACUAAAGAUUGUCACUUUAUCAGGGGAAUGGAUUGAAGUUUAUUAGAGAAAAAAUCAAGUUAACUUGCAAAUUAAACCUCAAUAAUUAGUGUUUUCUAAACGCUUUAGUACCAUAACUUUUAAGUUACAACUAUUCAACCACCGUACCAAAUAGGGUCUAAGUUGAUAUUAAUAUUUAAAGUUUUUUUAAGGGUACAACAUCAAACAAGAAAUCUUAAGUUGAUAUGAAUUUUUAAAUUUCUUGUGUUGUGCAUUUAUAAUUGUAUAAAGUUAAUUUAUAUAAUGUUGACUUAUGAAUACUAGCUAUCUCAAAAUGUAUUAAGGUAUCAUUUACUACUUGAAUUAGAAUUGGAAUCCCAAGGAAUGAGAAUCAUGGGAUUGAGAGUGUAGAGUGAGAGUGACAAUAAGUUGUUUACUUACAUUGUAAUGGGUGUGGGAUAGGAAUCAAAAUCCCAUAUAUAUAUAUAUUUACUUUAUAUUAGAUUACGAGUGAAUUAUUUCAAAUUAUAGUUUUACCCUUAUUUAAAAAAUUGUAGUUUUUAAUUACAAAGUAAAAAAAAAAUAUGUAAAAUAAACUACUUAUUUUAUUAUUAAUUUAAAAAAAAAUAUGUAAAAUAAACUACUUAUUUUAUUAUUAAUUUUAACUAUAUAAAUUAAUAAUAAUUAUUAAUAUCCUCAAUUAUGUAAAUCAAAUUUUUUUUAUUAAUUUUAAUUUUUAUUAUGUAAACUAAAAAUUAAUGAUAAGAGCAAAAAAAUGAAAAGCUAUUAUUAAUAAAUAGUAAAAAAUAAUAUUUUCUUACAAUAAACUAUUUAUUAUCAUUAAUUAUUAAUAUUAAAUACAAAUAAUACUACUAAAAUUAAAUAAAUAUAAUAAUUUUAUAAUUUUCAAAUAAAGAUAGUAUAUAGUAAUAUUAUUAAUUCUCUAUGAAUAUAGUAAUAUUAUUUUUGAGUAAUUUUAACUUAGAAUUGAUGUAAAUUGUCAUUUUUAACUAAAAUAUAAUAAUAUUAUACUUAAAUAAGUUUAUUAUUGUUAUUUUUAAUAAAUCUAAUAUUAUUAAAUAAUACAAUAAUAUUAUUUCAAUGAAUGUGAUAUUUUAUUUUUAAAUAAAUGUAAAAUUAUUUUAAAUAUAAUUAUAUUAUAUUUAAUAAGGGAAGAGUAAAAAAAAAUAUGGGAGUGGAUUCUCAAUUUCUCACUGUUAAUGAGUAGGACACAAUGAGACUUUCAUUCCCCUCCUUAAAUGAAUAAGUAAACGUUAGAGUGAAAGAAUCAUAUUCCCCACUCCUAAUUCAACAAGUAAACAUAACACAAGUGUCAUGCAACUAUAUAAAAGUUAAUUUAUAUAAUGUAUGAAUUUCUUUAUUAUAUGAACUAACGUGCUAAUAUGCUCAAGGAAAUUAAUUCUGGGUUUACUUUGUUGCAAUAUGUGCUUAAGUAAAUUAUUGCUUCAUUUAAUAUUGGAAGUUUUCUUGAUAUUGAGGCACACUUAUUUUUACUAAUAGAUGUGAAAUUUAGUGGCCGCAAAUGAUAGUAAUUUUAAUACCAUAUCCAUUUUCAAAAUUUUUGCCAGACUUUUGUGCAUUCUAGAGAAGAAAAAGCAACUUUUUAGUUGUAGAAGAUUCUUCCAUAUCGAGAAAAAUUGGAGGAAAGAUUGAGCAAGUAAAGAGUUGAAAAGUGACGUUUAUUUAUUUGUUUUGGUUUUUGGUUUUUAGAUUGAAAUUAAUAACUAACCAAAGUUGGUUGGUGUGAGUGGCUCGGCACUCUCACUUCUUAAGAGAGAUCAGGGAUUCAAGUCCUGUUCUCGUAUGAAGUCACCACUUUGGCUAGUACUUUACCCCUUAUGGGCCGACCCGGUGUGAGCGGGGAUUAGUCUGGGUUGUGGUACGGGCUUAAAAGUUCCUCCCACAAUUAGAACCCACUCAGGAUCACCUUGUGAUUGAGACAAAAAAAAAUUAAUAACUAAUUGCAAUAUUAAUUUCGUUUGAUAUAACGUGAUUGGUUCAUUUCAUCAAAGUUAAUUCAUUGCUUUAUUUCAUGGCUCAUAAAGAAUAUAGAGUGGAGCUAUUGGCACCCCUCUUACAUCCUAUUAAAACAUGUUAUUAAGUGUACCCCAUUAAAUAAAAUUGGGAACGUGUGUAGCAACUAACGUGUGCAUGGAGCAACUAACGUGUACAUGUGCAGUAACUAUUGUAAUAUUCUCUUUGUAUAGCUUUUGUAUUCCAUUAGGAAUAGAAGGAGCAUAUUUAGGAGACUAUUUAGAGAUUUCGUAGCUAUCUUUGAUUUUGGUAUAGGUGUAUAUAUGAAUAGCCGUGUGAUAUACAACUAGGACACAAAAUUUCUUCCCCUCUCACAAACGCUUUCAUGGUAUCAGAGCCUUGAGCCGAACCUUCUAAUAAAUCAAAAUUUUUCCAUAGCCGGUGCUGAAGCUAAGCACCAUGGCUGGAAGGGAAAAGGAAAACCGAAAUAUGAUAGAUUCAUCUUCACUUUAUUAUCUUCAUCCCUUUGAUCAUACGGGCAUGAUUAUAUCCCCGAUGAAAUUAAACGGUGAGAAUUAUGAAGAGUGGUCACGCUCGAUGCGUAAUGCAUUUCGGGCAAGAAGAAAACAAUCGUUUUUGAAUGGCAAGAUUGAAAAACCUGCCGAAGAUGCUCUUGAAAUUGAAGGUUGGUGGAGUGUGAAUUCAAUGCUUGUAGGAUGGAUAUUUACAUCUUUUGAACCGCAUAUUCGUUCAACAAUCACCUACUAUGAUACUGUUAAGGAACUCUGGGAUGAAUUAAAAUUGAGAUUCUCAAUUGGGAAUGGACCACGGGUGCUGCAAUUCUGAUCCGAUCUGGCUAAAUGUAAACAAGAUGGGCAGAUAGUAGCAACCUAUUUUGGACGUCUCAAGAUUCUGUGGGAUGAACUCAGCAACUAUGUUCAACCUCUUGUCUGCUCUUGCGGCAAUUGGACCUGUAAUCUGUCGACGCAGUGGGAAAAACAAAGGGAAGAAGAAUGUGUUCACCAAUUCUUGAUGGGACUUGAUGAUACGAUUUAUGGGACGGUUCGUUCUAAUAUUAUUGCUUAAGAUCCUCUUCUCUCACAAAGUCGUGCUUAUGCCUUGGUAGUACAAGAGGAAAGACAUCAAACCAUUACAAGGACACGUGAUGUGCGUGUCGAAGCCGUGAGCAUUGCUAUCCAAGCACCCAAGGCACAACAAGGAGCUGCUGCGUCUUUUUCGAAUAAUGCAAAUGGAGAAAAAUCUGUGCGUAAACAUUGUGGCAAAACCGGUCAUGAGAUAUCAUCUUGCUUCAAGAUUAUUGGAUAUCUGGAGUGGUGGACUGCUAAUCAUGGAAAAGGUAACUCAGGCGGACGAGGGCAGAUAAAUAAUUCUACUGGGCGUAGUAAAUCGCAUGCUGCUGUGGCUAACGCUGCUCUUCUGCCUGCUAGUGGAGGAGGAAACCAGGCUAGUCCGACUCUGUCAGCACAAGAUCGAGCUGCCCUUGCAGCUACUCUCACGGAUGAUCAAUGGGCAACUAUGGUGAAUAUGCUUAAUUCACAAAAUAAAGAUGUUUCAAAAGAGAAGCUUUCUGGUAAGUGGAUUCUUGAUACAGGGGCUUCGAGACAUAUGACAGGAAGCAGAGAAUUAAUGACUGAUCUGCAAAAUAUUGGGCCUUCACCCAUAGGUCUUCCAAACGGCACAUGCUCUCAUGCUCAGGGCGAGGGCACUGUUGAGUUUGGAAACAAUUUGAGAUUGAAUCAUGUUCUAUAUGUACCUGAUCUUAAUUGCAAUUUAAUUUCUUUAGCUUGCUUGAUUAAUGAUUUGCAGUGCCUUGUCACUUUAACGGACAAACUGUGUGUGAUACAGGACCGCACUAUGAGGACUUUGAUUGAUGUGGGUGAGCAAGAAGACGGGGUCUAUAUUUUUCAGAGUCCGGCAUCAGCAAAGGCGUGUCGUGUCUCUGCAGAAGGAAAUUAUUAUCUGUGGCAUCGGCGGUUAGGUCAUGCUUCUAAUAAGAUUAUUUCUUUACUUCCUAGUGUUAGCAAAAUGGAAUGUCAGAAAUUACGUGAUGAACCAUGUGAUAUUUGUUUUAAAGCAAAACAAACUCGAAAUGUUUUUCCUAUUAGCAUGAAUAAAGCUAAUGAUAUGUUUGCUCUAGUGCAUUGUGAUGUGUGGGGUGCUUAUUGUAUUCCGUCUUCUUGUGGUGCCCAUUAUUUUCUUUCUAUUGUUGAUGAUUAUUCACAAGGAGUUUGGGUUUAUUUGAUGGCACAUAAAUCUGAGAUGGCUCAACUUUUCAAAAAAUUUUGUGCUAUGGCCAAGACUCAAUUCAAUAGGCAAGUUAAAAUGGUACGAAGUGAUCAUGAUACAUAAUUUAAAGUUUUGAAUUCUCUUUUUGCUGAAAAUGGCAUUGAAUUUCAAGCUUCUUGUGUGGAUACGCCUCAACAAAAUGGGCGUGUCGAACGGAAACACCGUCAUCUUCUCAAUGUUGGGCGUGCCUUAAGGUUUCAAGCCAACCUGCCUCUUAAUUUUUGGGGAGAAUGUAUUUUAAGUGCUGCUUAUAUAAUUAAUCACACUCCCACUCCUUUACUUGAUGGAAAAAAUCCUUAUGAAUUAUUGCAUGGUAAGCCUCCUCCGUAUGCUCAUUUUCGUAGUUUUGGGUGUUUGUGCUAUGCUCAUUAUAUUCCUCGUGACAAGAAUAAAUUCAAUCCUAGAAGUAGGCGGUGUGUAUUUGUCGGCUAUCCCCAUGGAAAUAAAGGUUGGAGAGUCUUUGAUUUGGAAACCAAUGAAUUUUUUGUGUCCCGUGAUGUGGUGUUUUUUUAGGAUACAUUUUCGUAUCAUGAUAUCUCAUUGGUUAGCUCUCCUGCUCAUGAUCCUUGCGUCACACAUGAUUCUUUACGAGUGCAACAUGUUGAGUCUCCUCUUUCUUCACUUGGUAGUAACAGAGACGUUUCCUCCAAUGACGCUCAGGAGGAACUGAAGUCUAAUGAUAGGGGGAGCCCAUCCUCCCCUCAUGCAGUGUCCGAUUUUUCCUCUGAUUUAGUUGCCCUCCAUGACAGGGGGAGCUCUUCUUAUGAUGUUUCACUCUAUUUGCCAUCAUUUGCUGAUAAGAAUAUUGGUAUCUCUGUUCGUCAGAGUACACGACCGAAAAUUCCCAACACUCAUAUGCAUGAUUUUAUGUGUCAUACAGCUCGAGUUAUAGACCCCGCCUUCUUAUCCCCUGCACCACCAUUGUCCUCAGGUACGCCUUAUCCCAUAGCUAAAUUUGUGACUUGUGCUAAUUUUUCUACAAAUCAUUCUCGUUUCCUAGAAGCUAUUACUACUCUUACUGAGCCCACUAGGUAUUCUGAGGCUGUAAAAGACCCCCGUUGGCGUGAAGCUAUGGCCAAGGAGAUUGACUCUCUCGAAAAAAAUGAGACUUGGACACUAGCCGAUCUUCCUCCGGGCAAAAAGGUUAUUGGUUGCAAAUGGGUCUACUGCAUCAAGUACCAUUCCGAUGGCAGUAUUGAGAGGUGCAAAGCUCGACUAGUUAUCCUUGGUAAUAACCAGAUUGAAGGGGUGGAUUAUAAUGAGACAUUUACACCAGUUGCUAAAAUAGUUUCUGUUUGAACUCUCUUAGCUGUUGCCGUUGCUCGAGAUUGGGAGUUACAUCAGAUGGAUGUAAAUAAUGCUUUUCUUCAUGGUGACCUUGCUGAGGAAGUGUACAUGCAACUUCCUCCAGGUUUUUCGACUACUUCUUCGGGUAAAGUAUGUCGUCUUCGUAAAUCUUUAUAUGGUCUUCGUCAAGCCCCUCGUAAUUGGUUUGCUAAGCUUGCUGGUGCCUUGAAAUCUUUUGGAUUUGACCAAUCAUAUGCCGAUUACUCUCUUUUUACAUUUGCACGUCAUGAUAUUUCUAUUUACGUGCUUGUUUAUGUUGACUUGAUUAUUGCGGGGAAUAAUACUACUGCUAUCUCUGCUUUUAAAGCCUAUUUAAGCCGUUGUUUUCACAUGAAGGAUUUGGGUGUUCUUAUGUAUUUUCUAGGCAUCGAGAUCUCUCAAGGACCUACUGGCAUGUUCUUAUCUCAACGCAAACACACGUUGGAUAUUUUGGCUGAAACCGGUCUUCUUGGUGCAAAACCAGCUCCAUUUCUUAUUGACCAAAAUCAUCGUCUUGCUCUUGAUGAUGGUCCUAUGUAUUCUGAUCAUGUAUGGUAUUGCAGGUUCAUUGGUCGCUUAAUUUAUUUGACUAUUACUCGUCCCGAGCUUUGUUAUUCAGUUCAUGUUCUGGUUCAAUUUAUGCAAUGUCCUCGUGAGAUUCAUUGGGAGGCCGCUACUCGUGUCUUGCGCUAUCUAAAAGGUCAUCCAGGUCAAGGUAUUUUCUUACGACGGAAUAGUGCCCUUCAGCUUAUUGCCUAUUGUGACUUGGAUUGGGGCGCUUGUUCUCUUACCCGUCGUUCUCUUACUGGUUAUUUCAUGUUUUUAGGUGGUCCUCCCAUUUCCUGGAAGACAAAGAAACAACAUACUGUCUUUCGUUCUUUGGCUGAAGUAGAGUAUCGGUCUAUGGCUUUCACUUGUUGUGAAUUAACUUGGUUGAAGGCUUUGUUAAAGUCUCUUGGUGUUUCGCAUUCUCUACCGAUGCGUCUUUACUGUGAUAGUCAGGCAACACUUCAUAUUGCUACCAAUUCUGUUUUUCAUGAGCGCACUAAGCACAUUGAAAUUGAUUCCCACUAUGUGCAUGACCAAAUCCAUGCUGGUAAUAUUGUUGCUCCUCAUGUUCGUACUUCAGAGCAACUUGCAGACAUUUUCACAAAGGCGCUUGGUCGACACCAGUUUGAGAAUAUCCUUCGCAAGUUGGGCAUUCGUGAUCUUCAUGCUCCAACUUGAGGGGGAGUAUUGGGAAUGUGUGCAGCAACUAACGUGUGCAUGAAGCAACUAACGUGUGCAUGUGCAGUAACUAACGGGUGCAUGGAGCAAUUAACGUGUGCAUGUGUUGUAACUAUUGUAAUAUUCUCUUUGUAUAGCUUUUGUAUUCCAUUAGGAAUAGAAGGAGCUUUUGUAUUCCAUUAGGAAUAGAAGGAGCAUAUUUAGGAGACUAUUUAGAGAUUUCGUAGCUAUCUUUGAUUUUGGUAUAGGUGUAUAUAUGAAUAGCCGUGUGAUAUACAACUAGGACACAAAAUUUCUUCCCCUCUCAACAACGUUUUCAAAUAAUAUUAGAAAAUUCAUCAUGACUAUUAACACACUCUUUAAUUCCAAAAAUAUCAUUAUUUCAGUUAUUCUAAAUAACUUUCUCUCUGCUAAAAUCCCAAAUACAGGUAUCUUGUUUCUUGUUCUCUUUCUCUCUUUUUAAAUAGUUUUCUUAUAAGUCAAUUAUUUCCUUAAGGAUUGGUUUUAAACUCUAAAUUAAAAUGUACAUUUGAUUCAAAUUAAAGAUGAGAAUAUUGAAAUAAAUUUUUAGAUAUUUUGGUACUUUUACCUUAUGACGGUAAAAUAAUCAUAUUAAUUUAUGUUAAAGCAAUGUUAUUGUUUAAAUAUAAUAAAAAAUAGUCUUAAAAAAUAAAUGAAUAUCAAAUAAAUCACUACUAUAUCAUUAAAAUAUGAAAAAAUUUGUAUAAAAAAUUAUUCAAGCUAAAGUAAAUUUUUAGAUAUUUUGAAACUUUAUGAUGAGGGUAAAAUAGUCAUAUUAAUUUAUGUUAAAGUAACCUUAUUGAUCAAAUAUAAUAAAAAAAUAGUGUAAAAAAUGAAUAUGGAUUUAAUUGAAUAAUUUUUUUCUAAAAAUUUCUCUUAAUUUGAAUUUUUUUAAAAAUAAUGUAAACUUGUUGUAAUAAGUUUUGAAAAUCGGGUGGAUUUAUAAAAUUUGUGGAGUGGAAUAUCACCACCUGAAUAUAAAUGUAUUCGUCAAAUGGGUAAAUUUUGGAUUAUCCCUCUCAUGAAUUAACUAUUUCAAACCACUCGUUUACUUUGAAAACUUCAAGUUGCCCCUAUUUUUGUCCAAAAGAUUAAGAAAAAGAGGGUUCAAUCGAUGAUUUUUUUGUCUUCUUAACAAAAUAAAAUGGGAAUAAAUUGAGGUUUUUAAAAGAAAGAGUUGAUUUAAAAAUAGUCAAUUUAUGAGGAGAUAAUUCAAAAUUAACGAUUUACAAAGAGUUUGGUCUUAAUUUAAUAAAUAACCGAUUAACUCUUUUUGUUUUUAUCAUUAUAUUUUUGUUUUAGUAUUUUCUUUGACUGACCAAUUAUGAAUAAAUUCUAGUGAGAUAGAGGAUUAAAAAAUCAAUUUCUUACUAUGUUGAUUAAAACAUCAAUUUCUUACUAUUAUAUGUAAGUGGGAAUUCUUGAAUAAUUUCUUUGUGAAAUGUUAAUUAAUUAAUUUAUUUUAUUUAAAAGGUAGAAGGUGAGCAAAAUUUAUAAAAGAAAAAAAUCAUAAAUGAACAAGAGAGAAGAAUUAUAAUUUACAAAUUAACAACUCUUUUAUUCAAAACAAGUACUUGUUGAUACUAGCAUCCAGAAUAUACAUCUCAAUCACAACCCACGGAUUGUUGACCACUGCCAAAUACUCAACUCACAACUUCAAAGUAAAAUGACAAUGCAAGCUUCCAUUAGAGCAGCUUUUGUAAUCAAAACAAUGGAAUCUCAUCAACCAUCAAUCGUUUCCUAGGGCAUGGUCAUCAGUGAAGAAAAUCAUUUAGCAUACAAAGCUUCAGUAGUGAGCUACAGGGGCUUAAACAAAAGUCAGUACAUGAAAGAAGACGUGCUAGAAGAAACCAAGCAUCAACCCCAUAGAGGUAUUCCAUGGCAUGGAUUGUAACUUAUAAGUCUGGUAAAUCGCUGAUCCGUUGAUGGUGUUAUGAGCACUCAAAUAAAUGAUUGCUUUUCUCAACGUUGGAAUGUUUUUUAAACAUCAAUGUAUUUUUUGCUCUAAGUAAGGCACACUUAUCUUUACUAAUAACUGUAAAAUUUGGUAGAGGAAAAAAUAGUUGUAAUUCCAUAACUAUUUUGUAAAUCUUUUGCCAGAAUUUUGUGUACUCUAGAGAAAAGUUGGAGCAAGUAAAGAGCUCAAGAGCCUUUUUUUUUUUUUUCCUUUGCUUUCUGAGGAGAAGAGGAGACAGCGAAUUUGAUUUUAUAUUGAAUAUAGAGUCUAGUGCCAUAAAUAUGUGAUUUGAAGAAUCCAUUUCUCAGAUUUUCUCCAUUAAAUUUAAACUUAAGAGAAAGAUAUGGCGGCGAUGCUCCGUCAUAAGGUAUGAUAGAACACCAUACAAACUGAUUCAAGUAAAAUAAAAAUGAGUAUUUAAUUUUACAAGGUAAGCUUAAGGAUAAGACUAACCAGCCUCCUGGACAUAGCUCGAUGGUUGUGAAUACACAGUCACAAAGUUUGAGUAAUAAUUGAAAAAAUAUUGGUAUUUAGAGGGUGGGAUUUCUCAUCCCAUCCAAACCUAUAAGUAAAUAGUAUUUUAUUAUAUUAUUUGAUUAAUUUACAUUGUUCAUUAGGAAUUAUAUGAUUGGUACAUUUGGCCAAAGUUCAUUGCUGUAUCCCAUGGCAUAUAAAAAAUAAGAUGGUGUUGUUUGCAUAGAAUUACUGCUUAGUAAUAUGUUGCCAUUAAUGGUAAUUAAUUUUGAUAUCUAAUCAUCAGAUAUUUCAAACUCUGAAUUUUAAAUGCUUAUCUUCAGUCUGGACCUGAUUUUUUAAGUGAGAAUUCCAUUUAUGGUGUUGGCUGUAAAGAGAUAACAACAAGCACCCUAUGUCCACUACUGUAAAGGAACUAAAGUAUUUUAAACUAAUUUGUUUGCCUGGAAUAAUCAAUUGAUGGAAAAAAUAUAGUAAUGAAAUUGAUAAUUAUGAGUAAUGCUACGUACAUAGUUAGGAAUUAUGACUAGAAUUUAAGUCAAUGCUUGUUACUUCAGUCUCUCAAGCAAUAGCCUUAUUCUAUCUACCAAGGCAAUGUACUAUUAGGCUAAACUCUUGCUUCUUAGUCUUAAGACAACCAUUUUACAUGUAUAUUUAAGUGCGAAUAAAUUAUCAUAAUAUAUGAUUGUAAGUUUGGAACUCUUUAUUAUAUUACUUUUGAAUAUAACCCUAGUGUUUUUUAAUUAUAUAUGCAACUUUUAAACUUUUUAAUUUGUAAAUUCUCACUUAAAAUAUAUGAGUUGGUAACAUGGACAAAGCCAUCAACUUGCAGCUGGGGAUAAAUAAAUUAAAGUCGAUGCUAGUUAACUUCUAUAUAUCAAGCAACAUCAUCGACUUACAUAUUAUAUUUCAGUGACACUAAGGCUACAAUAAAAAAUGACCAAAAAUUCGAUACCAUGAAUAUUAUAUAUUUGAGUGACAAUAAAGUUAUAAUACCAAAAGAAUAAAAAUGUUUAUUUUCUUGUUUAUUAUAUUUUGAAAAAAGGAUAUCGGCACUCCUAUAAUUUAUUGAAAUGGUCGUAGAGACCUCUAUAUUUUCAAAAAUGGUCACAUAAGUAACUUUUGGGACAAAACUUUUUUUUCUUGACAAAUCUUAAGGGUCUAUGUGAAUUUGUGGCUAUUUUUGAACCAAAAAAAAAAAAGAGUUUAUGUGUCUUAAAACGGUUUGUACUUUGUAUGGCAAUUUCUAAACAUAAGAAAGAGUAUGUAUAUCUUGAAAAUGGGUUUGUAUAAUUAUUUAUUUGUAUAUUAUUUAUGAAAAUAAGAGAGUCUCCAGGACUAUUUCCUCAAAUUAAGAGGAUGUUUCUGUCCUUUUCCCUUACAUUUUUAACAUAGGAUGGUAAUGAAUAAUUAAAAAAGGGACCCAAGUAAUAAAUAUGAGAAACAUAUCUAAUUAUCUUUCUCACUUUGAAUUUUUUUAAUAUACACAACACAAUGAAAGUGCUGCUUGAACCAUAAGACUUUCAACCAGAAAAUCUCGAUUUGAAGAUACCUUCAAAAUGUUGGCACUUUUUUAAUUGACUUAUUUUGAUAGCUUAAUUGGUAAAUUUCAAAUUAAAAUUGAAAGGUUAUCAUAUGAAACACUUGGACUUUUUAAACUAAAAUUGAAAGAUAAUAUUAUGAAACCCCUGGACUUUUCAAAAGCCAAUCAGAAUGGAAAAUGAUGGACAAAUCGAUCAUUUCUGGUAACAAGAUCUUGUGCAUGACCUUAGAUGAUCCCAACAAUGUAAACUCGUUUUUCUUUUUAUUAUUAACCAUCAAUUGUUACUAUAUGUUUUUUUUUAUCAUAGAAUCAGAUAAAAUAACGUUGACAUCCUUUCAAUCAAACGGAAGCUUAAUUAUGAAGCUACUUUCUUAUUGCUGUAUAUGUGUUAUCAUAUUUGUUUUCAUAGGCGUAGGGCUAGAUCUAUUGUAAUUCUAAAAUGUACCACUUUUCAAGGAGUAGGUGGGAUUGAAAAACUGUAUUAAACUGCUGGGACAACAUCAUGUGUUUAUAAUAAUUAUUAAACAUAUGCAUUCUACUCUUCAAACUUACAACACUUCCGUAGCUUAUUUUAUCAAACACUUAACUUUUGCAUUUGUCCCGUUGAUUUUCUCGUCAAUACCAGCAAAAGUGAAUUAUUUCAUAAGCAACCAUCCGAAUCUAUCCCUAUAUAAGUAUUAUAAAUAAUUUUUUCUGAAAAUUAUUUUAUUUCUAGAAAAAUAUAUUUUGAUAUUAUUAAUCUAUCAUGCAAAUUUGAUUCAACACUACGAUUUGUUCGCCAAUGACUGACUUUAGAUUUCUAUAAGAAAUAAUAUAUAUAUAUAUAUAUAUAUAUAUAGACACACACACACACAAUAUAACUACUUACGAGGAUCCUUUAAUAAAAUUUGAUGCCAAAAUAUGAUACAAUAAUUCCCCAUACAUCAUAUGAUUGCUGGUUUUUCGCUGAUCGAAGUAUGCAUACAUAACAUGAUUUUAUUUAAAGAGAAGUAUGAUAAUAAUGAGAUACAGUUAUUGUACAAUAAUCUCAACUUUGUAAGCAUAUUACUAUUCUAACUAGAAUAUAAUUCAUUCUUUUAUGCCAAGCAAGAUAAAUAAAAUUAACUCCUUACUUCAUUAUAAAUAUGCUAGGGUUAGGGGAAGCAUAAGCCGUGAUGCUAGUUUCUUGUUCAAAAUUUUCCAUGUCCUCCUUAAACAUUACCACCAAUGCUUCUAUUCCUUCACUGUCACUUGCGCUUGAUAAAAUAGCAAGAUCAGGUAACAAUAUGGGCCCGAGACUAAACCAAACAGGCUUCCCCCAACCAAAAUCAACUUCAUCACAAGGCAAUCCAACCAUACUAGUCAAAAGAAAUGACCUUGAAUCUUCCCCUACUU